GCAUCGCUGGUUCAGUGGUAGAAUUGUCGCCAGCCACGCGACAGACCCGGGUUCAAUUCCCGGCCGAUGCA
Symsagittifera roscoffensis is the source of this 71-nucleotide non-coding RNA. Lineage: Eukaryota; Metazoa; Xenacoelomorpha; Acoela; Convolutidae. The record is from the annotation of a RefSeq genome assembly.